Long non-coding RNA from Cynoglossus semilaevis (tongue sole), 3246 nucleotides. RefSeq lists it as uncharacterized. The transcript has 3 exons. Lineage: Eukaryota; Metazoa; Chordata; Actinopteri; Pleuronectiformes; Cynoglossidae. The record is from RefSeq and is a predicted model, not a curated record.
UUAUUAUUAUAUGUUUUUCGUUUAUAAAUAUAGUUGAGUUUGAAAGUGUAGACGUUAAAACCCGUGUUUACAUUAGCUUCUUGUCUGAAAGAGCACGUUUGGAAACAACAGAGGCCGCUGUUGCGUCAGGUAAAAACUCGUCUGGUGACGACGGAGUGUACAAUCAACAAACAGGUCUAACAACGUCAACACUUUCGAAGCUCUGAGGGUCUUAUUGACCAUGCAGUAAGAAUUGCAACAGCCAACCAAAGACAGUAUCUUGUUUCACCAGUGGAUGUUGAAGUCCACUUACACCAGAGUCACAACUUUGACCAGUAUCCUUUUGUAAAUGAAGGUUAUUUUUUGUCCUUAGUCAUUAGUUAUAAUAAGUAGGUAAAUAAUGUAAGAAAGCAGCUCAGUUACAUAGAUGAACCUCCACUCAGGGCAUUUAUGUCUAAAUAAAAAUGCUUUCUGCUAAUGUGAACUAUGGUGGGCGUGGCUAACCAGAAGCCUUUUUCUUUUACACCAGAAACAAAAACAAAAAAAUCUGACCGACACCACCAAUAUGUGGGCGGGGCUUGUCCCAAUUAACAUAUUGCACUCAACAUGAGUGCAGUAAUGACAUUAAGUCCAUCCACAGCGUCAUCUGCGGUCAGUCAGCCUAACUGUCGUGUGUGGUGGGUACAGAGGCAGACGCUGUGGUCAGUCUGAGCACUGAGUUUAAAAUUCAGAGGUUCAGAGGUCUCUAAAAUAUCUGUACGUCACCAGGGGGCGACAGAUGUCUGCAGGAAAAAGAGGAGAGUUUUUUUUUUUUACAGAAUUGACCAUGUGUUUUAACAUGGUCUCAGUCUUCUAACACUUCUAACUGUGAUCACACUGGAUGAAUGAAUGAAUGAAUGAAUGGUCAGGACGUGUACAGUGCUGUGUGAACAGCCGGACGUCCAGAGUCCAGAGCAGUCCAUUUCUGGUGUCGUGUUGCAUCUGGGCUGAGCUAACCACUGUGCAUAGUGAUGCUGAGCUGGGAUAGCAUCACCUCACUUACAGUGAAAGCUUGCAUGACACAGUAGACUAUACCAUUAGGCUCCAUUUAUUCUGCCCCCACCCUCACCUAACCCCCCCACGGCUUGCCCGCUGAUGUAUUUUCCCUCCUGCUCUCUGCCUCCCACUCAUUGCAAGGAAAAGGAGACUCAACUUGGACCUUAAUUAUUUUUCCUUGGCCACACUUCUCCGCCCCUCACAUCGUCUCCCUGCCAUCAACGGCUUCAUCCUGAAGAUCGAUGUGCGCAAGAGAGCGUGACUCUUUAAUCUUGGGCGGGGGGUGGGGGGGGUCAGGGUCUGCACCGUACGCCUGUUGCUCUACACUUAUACACUAUAUAUUUAUAUAUAUAUAUAUCUACAUUUAUAUUUAUACACCAACAUUUGCAUAUAUAACAGUCAUGUUAUGAUCGUUAUAACUCAUCGUGAGACUCGUUUUACUUUCUUACAUUUACUGUACAUAUUUACAUAAAUUCUAUGAGUGGAACUAAUUCUUUUAUACAUAUAUAUCUAGCUGCAAAUUUACAUUUGAGUCUUAAAUCUGUUAAAUUCCACGUCUGAGUAAUUUUGUCAAGCAAUGAUGACAUCAUUCUUUUUUUGUUACUCGAUGCGGCGCCUGUUUAACAAAGACAAUGAGCUCAGACUCUUACCUUUGGUCAUGCUCAUUCAAGUUUAUUUCAGACAUGCAGAACUAUGGCACAGUAAACCAGUCAUACAGUAUAAAUGUAUAAACAUCAACAUCAGAGUGCCAAGAACAGUGCAUUCAUCGUGGAGGAGGAGGGUGAGAAGAAACGAACCCCCCGCCCCAGACCCCAGACCUCUUCACCCCUCCCCUGCCUGAGCCCCCUACCCAACCCAACCAUGUCUUGCAGUAUAUUGUAAAGAGGGUGUGUACAGGUCCAGGCAGUUCAGUCUAAUGGGGGCUGGUUCCUUUUUUCUUAUAUUCAUUUUUUUUUUUUCAUAGUAGCACGCAAAGCGAGAUAGACGGCGACUGCAGCUUGAUGUUUUUUUGUUGUACAUGUUGUUUUGUUUGUUUGUUUUUCUCAUUGUCCAGGUGAUGUAAACAGUGUAUGAAAUCAGCUUAAAAUCUCGCCACAGCCACAGACUGCUCCGUGCAAAAUACAUAAGAAAACUCGCUACAGUUCAAAAGUGGAGACAUCAAAACAGGGCGCGACUGCGGGUGGGCCCGUACGGACCGCAUACCAGAAAUGUACGCCGCCUUCAGGUGAGCGUCAACAGCCUCGGACUAAGUAACUCUCCAUGAGUAGCUUGAAAACUGAGGCCGGUUCGGACCUGAUUCAUGAAGGUAACAAACAUUUUCCUGACUUUCAACAACUAGUAAGGCCAAUUCCAUUUAGGUGAAAAUACACAAUAACACAGGAAGGAGGACACUGAUGGCUGUGGACACUGUCAACCUUGAACCCCUCAAAUCCAGUCACAUCCUACUGAAGAUCCUGAACCUAGCUGACUGUCAACUUCAACUAGUUUGACCAAAAAUACCAGAGCUCCGACUGCUGCUCCGAGGAUAUACCAGCCUGAAAUGAAGUCUCACUGUCUUGACCAGUCAGUAAAUCCUACUGAAUGCGACUCACUCAGUUCUAGACUUCCACAGCCUAAUAGCUGAGUGAAGGGGAUUUAGUUUUUUAACAGUAAACUCUACCAACCUCCUCAUCAUCGGUACAAAAGUAAGAGAUACAAUGGUGGACGAAUACCUGAAAAGAACCUGCAGUACUGAGUCUGGCCGUGAUGAAGGACAGUUUUUUGUCUUUUUUUUUUUUACUACUUCCUUUCAUGGAGAGCAGCCUUUCAAAUAAUUCCCAUGGCUUCAUUUUUUUUUGACCACCAGAAGGCGGCGUACAUUUCUCACACAGUCUAAAGAUGCACUGAGGUCCAAGAGUUUUUUUUUUUUCAUCUGUUGUUGAUCCAGCUAUAAAUGUGUGUUAUUUUUGAUUUUUUUUUUAGCCUUUUAUUAGACAAUCUUUUUUUUUUUGUUAUGUUUUUGAACCUCUCUAUGGCCUCUAUGUCAGACAGGAGCGUGAGCAUCAGUGCACCGAUGAGUUAGUUAGACUUUCUUCCCGUCUGGUGAUAGACAGACAUAACAACAGGCCGUACAUCUCUUCCCGUCCUUUUGUUCCUGAGUUUGUGCGGUGUGUAAUGGGCGUGAGUGAAGCCAGACACGGAGUAAAUGGACCUGUGAUUUCUUUUUCUCUUUUCCUUUGUUUCGCAGCAGCA